CCCUAGCCCCGAUAGUAGCGGCAUCCUUUUCUUUUUUUCUUUAAAAAAGAAAAGAUACAGCGAAUAGCGGGAAAUAGC
This 78-nucleotide small RNA is filed under the name Flavobacterium xinjiangense. Its description in RNAcentral is "Flavo-1 RNA". It matches the Rfam family "Flavo-1 RNA". Lineage: Bacteria; Pseudomonadati; Bacteroidota; Flavobacteriia; Flavobacteriales; Flavobacteriaceae. The record is from RNAcentral.